GUGCCAGCCGCCGCGGUAAUACCGGCAGCCCAAGUGAUGGCCGCUGUUAUUGGGCCUAAAGCGUCCGUAGCUGGCCGCACAAGUCCGUCGGGAAAUCCGCCCGCUCAACGGGCGGCCGUCCGGCGGAACCUGUGUGGCUUGGGACCGGGAGGCCUGAGGGGUACGAUUGGGGUAGGAGUGAAAUCCUGUAAUCCCGCUCGGACCACCGUUGGGGAAACCACUUCAGGAGAACGGAUCCGACAGUGAGGGACGAAAGUCAGGGUCUCGAACCGGAUUAGAAACCCGGGUAGUCC
This 293-nucleotide ribosomal RNA is filed under the name uncultured bacterium. RNAcentral describes it as "partial 16S ribosomal RNA". It matches the Rfam family "Archaeal small subunit ribosomal RNA", at positions 455 to 747 of the family's 1478-position model. The record is from RNAcentral.